RNAcentral lists this non-coding RNA (24 nucleotides) under Arabidopsis thaliana (thale cress). Lineage: Eukaryota; Viridiplantae; Streptophyta; Magnoliopsida; Brassicales; Brassicaceae. The record is from RNAcentral.
AGUUUGACAUGGCUGGCGACUUUC